ACUCAAAUGAAUUGACGGGGACCCGCACAAGCGGUGGAACAUGUGGUUCAAUUCGAUGCUACGCGAAGAACCUCACCCAGGCUUGACAUGCAAGAAGUAGUGAACUGAAAGGGGAACGACCUGUUAAGUCAGGAACUUGCACAGGUGCUGCAUGGCUGUCGUCAGCUCGUGUCGUGAGAUGUUGGGUUAAGUCCCGCAACGAGCGCAACCAUUGCCCUAUGUUGCUAAUUUAUAGACCUUCGGGUUCGUAAAUGCACUCUUAGGGGACUGCCUGGGAUAACCAGGAGGAAGGUGGAGAUGACGUCAAGUCAGUACGGCCUUUAUGCCUGGGGCUACACACGUGUUACAAUGCUCAGUACAAAGGGUUGCCAACUCGCGAGAGGGAGCCAAUCUCAAAAAACUGAGCCCAGUUCGGAUAAGAGUCUGCAAUUCGACUCUUUGAAGCCGGAAUCGCUAGUAAUGGGGGAUCAGCUCGCCCCCGUGAAUACGUUCCCGGGUCUUGUACACACCGCCCGU
RNAcentral lists this ribosomal RNA (516 nucleotides) under uncultured bacterium. Its description in RNAcentral is "partial 16S ribosomal RNA". It matches the Rfam family "Bacterial small subunit ribosomal RNA", at positions 899 to 1397 of the family's 1533-position model. The record is from RNAcentral.